Molecule: long non-coding RNA, 279 nt
Filed under: Dasypus novemcinctus (nine-banded armadillo)
Lineage: Eukaryota; Metazoa; Chordata; Mammalia; Cingulata; Dasypodidae
Description: lncRNA (ENSDNOG00000051472.1)
Source: RNAcentral
UCUGCCAUUUUAUUCUGGGUCUAACAGCUUUAACUCGAAAAUGAUCUCACAAAGCUAUUAUAAUACCUUUCUUCCACAUCCCCCCAGGAACUGCUUCCACCUCUCUGCAUGUACACAGUGACGGCACCCAAGAAAAUGGCUGGUGAUGGAUUGAACCCACCUAGGAUGUCCAUGCCCUGCCACAGUCAGAGGAGCUGCACACUCUUGAUGUUGGAUUUGAGCCAUGCUUUAAACUUAACAGCCUGCAUAUCACUGCAAAAGAGGCCAAAGAUCCCCCUG